This 253-nucleotide ribosomal RNA is filed under the name uncultured bacterium. Its description in RNAcentral is "partial 16S ribosomal RNA". It matches the Rfam family "Bacterial small subunit ribosomal RNA", at positions 524 to 776 of the family's 1533-position model. The record is from RNAcentral.
UACAGAGACUGCAAGCGUUAUUCGGAUUCACUGGGCGUAAAGGGUGCGCAGGCGGCCGGGUGUGUCAGAUGUGAAAUCCCGAGGCUUAACCUCGGAACUGCGUCUGAAACUACUCGGCUAGAGUAUUGGAGAGGGUAACGGAAUUCACGGUGUAGCAGUGAAAUGCGUAGAUAUCGUGAGGAACACCAGAGGCGAAGGCGGUUACCUGGACAAUUACUGACGCUCAGGCACGAAAGCAUGGGGAGCAAACAGG